UACAGAGGGGGCAAGCGUUAUUCGGAAUUACUGGGCGUAAAGCGUGCGUAGGUGGUUCGUUAAGUCUGAUGUGAAAGCCCUGGGCUCAACCUGGGAAUGGCAUUGGAAACUGGCGACCUAGAGUGCGGUAGAGGGUAGUGGAAUUCCCGGUGUAGCAGUGAAAUGCGUAGAGAUCGGGAGGAACAUCUGUGGCGAAGGCGACUGCCUGGACCAGCACUGACACUGAGGCACGAAAGCGUGGGGAGCGAACAGG
Molecule: ribosomal RNA, 253 nt
Filed under: uncultured bacterium
Lineage: Bacteria
Description: partial 16S ribosomal RNA
Rfam family: Bacterial small subunit ribosomal RNA
Source: RNAcentral